Molecule: long non-coding RNA, 313 nt
Filed under: Androctonus crassicauda
Lineage: Eukaryota; Metazoa; Arthropoda; Arachnida; Scorpiones; Buthidae
Source: RNAcentral
GGAGAACUCUGAAUGUCUUAAGGAUGUGUUUUGAGUCCUCACAGGUGACCUUGCUGAGGAAAAGCAUGACGGAGGAGAAACGCAGCCUGAAUGUUUUAUGUACCUUUUAAGUGUCCGUCAGUGAAAGGUUUUGCUUAGAAAGCAUGAGUUUUAAUAUCUAGUCGUGAUCUGCACACGUGCAAACGCAGAGGGUGAGAGCGGCUGAGGCUCCUUGGAGAGUUCACCAUGGUUGCAUUAGUUACCUGGGCAUGUAGCAGCCAGCCACUGGCCGGUGUAAAUGUUUCGUGGUUGUUUGAUCGUUUUUAAAACCUGC